Molecule: ribosomal RNA, 253 nt
Filed under: uncultured bacterium
Lineage: Bacteria
Description: partial 16S ribosomal RNA
Rfam family: Bacterial small subunit ribosomal RNA
Source: RNAcentral
UACAGGGGGGGCAAGCGUUGUUCGGAAUUACUGGGCGUAAAGGGCUCGUAGGCGGCCAACUAAGUCACACGUGAAAUCCCCAGGCUUAACCUGGGAACUGCGUGUGAUACUGGAUGGCUUGAAUCCGGGAGAGGCAAGGGGAAUUCCACGUGUAGCGGUGAAAUGCGUAGAGAUGUGGAGGAACAGCUGUGGCGAAGGCGCCUUGCUGGCCGAUUUCUGACGCUGAGGCGCGAAAGCGUGGGGAGCAAACAGG